GCAAUGCCGCGUGAGUGAAGAAGGCCUUCGGGUUGUAAAGCUCUUUUGUCAGGGAAGAAACGGAUUUUUCUAAUACAGAGAUCUAAUGACGGUACCUGAAGAAUAAGCACCGGCUAACUACGUGCCAGCAGCCGCGGUAAUACGUAGGGUGCAAGCGUUAAUCGGAAUUACUGGGCGUAAAGCGUGCGCAGGCGGUUUUGUAAGACUGUCGUGAAAUCCCCGGGCUCAACCUGGGAAUGGCGAUGGUGACUGCAAGGCUAGAGUUUGGCAGAGGGGGGUAGAAUUCCACGUGUAGCAGUGAAAUGCGUAGAUAUGUGGAGGAACACCGAUGGCGAAGGCAGCCCCCUGGGUCAAAACUGACGCUCAUGCACGAAAGCGUGGGGAGCAAACAGGAUUAGAUACCCUGGUAGUCCACGCCCUAAACGAUGUCUACUAGUUGUCGGGUUUUAAUUAACUUGGUAACGCAGCUAA
Molecule: ribosomal RNA, 471 nt
Filed under: Duganella sp.
Lineage: Bacteria; Pseudomonadati; Pseudomonadota; Betaproteobacteria; Burkholderiales; Oxalobacteraceae
Description: bacterial SSU rRNA
Rfam family: Bacterial small subunit ribosomal RNA
Source: RNAcentral